UAAUAAACUUCUUAACAUAUUAUUCUUCGAAUAAUUCUACUAUAAAGUAACUAAUAUGAAUUUAUUUUAUCAUAUCAUGAUUGUUGGGAAUUAUGAAAUUAGCUAUUCAUAAUCAUAAAUAGAUAUACCUGUUCGGGUAGCUUUGAUAUUUCUGAGUUUUGUUGCUCCAUAGCUUUUUCCAUUGAAAUAUGUUUAUCUAAUUAACUGAGUAAAAUAUUUUUUGUGGAGUGG
RNAcentral lists this long non-coding RNA (231 nucleotides) under Capsicum annuum. RNAcentral describes it as "long non-coding RNA (CANN_LNC006719)". The record is from RNAcentral. Lineage: Eukaryota; Viridiplantae; Streptophyta; Magnoliopsida; Solanales; Solanaceae.